This 1580-nucleotide ribosomal RNA is filed under the name Chloropicon mariensis. RNAcentral's name for it is "partial Bacterial small subunit ribosomal RNA". It matches the Rfam family "Bacterial small subunit ribosomal RNA". Lineage: Eukaryota; Viridiplantae; Chlorophyta; Chloropicophyceae; Chloropicales; Chloropicaceae. The record is from RNAcentral.
UGGCUCUGAGUGAACGCUAUGCAAAUGCUUGACACAUGCUAAUCGAACGUCAAUAUUUAAUUUAGAUGAAUUAUGUAUAUUGAAGUGGUGUACAGGUGAGUAAUUGGUAUUAUGGCUACCUAGAAGUAAGGCAAAAUAAAUCCCUUAUAGCAACAAUUUGUUAUUCUUUAUUUAUACUAGAAAUAAUUUGCUUCUAUUAGAUUUACUAUAAAUAAAGUUAAGUUAACUAUAACAAUAAUAACUGUUCAAAAGAAAGAGUAUUUCGCUUCUAGUUGAUUAUUAAUAACCAUCGGAUAAGUAGUAAGUAUGGUAAUGGCAUACUUAGCUUGUGUCCGUAGUCAGGACUGAGAGGUCUAUUGACCACACUGGGUCUGAAAAAACCCCAGUGCGUGUAGUACAGCAGUGAGGAAUUUUGGUCAAUGGCCUAACGGCUGAACCAGCAACUUGCAGGAAUGAGAGUUAAUAUAAUAAGUUUAUUAACUUGCUUGACUAGGUCUUAUAAAGUUCUGGAUAAAGCUUAUUAUGAAAACUUUAUAUCCAUAGGUCUCGACCAAAUCUUGUGCCAGCAGUCGCGGUAAGACAAGGGAGACGAGUGUUAUUCAUCUUUAACAGGUAUAUAGGGUACCUAGACGGUGUACAAAGGCUUAGAUAAGUACCUGUUACACUUGAGUUUGAUAUGUGAGAGGAAUAUGUCAGAAUUAUUGGUGGAAAGAUGAAAUUUGCUAAUACUAAUAGGACUGAUAAAGGCGAAGGCAAACCUCUAUGUACAUGUAUUUAUGCAGCACGGGAUCGUGAAAAAAAAAGGCAUAAAAUACUAUAACUGACGUUGAGGGACGAAGGCUCAGAGAGUGAAGAGGAUUAGAUACCCCCGUAGCCUGGGCAGACAAUGAUGAGUGCCAUAGGUUGGCUUUACGCGGAACUAUAAAUGAAAGUGUAAGCACUCCACCUCAAGAGUAAUGUGGCAACGCAGGAACUGAAAUCAUUAGACCGUUUCUGAAACCAGUAGUGAAGUAUGUUAUUUAAUUCGAUGAUCCUCGAAUAACCUUACCACAAUUUGAAUGACCUAAAAUAUUUUUUUAGACCACAUGCGUUGCAUGGCUGUCUUCAGUUAAUGUCGUGAGACUUUGGUUAGAUCCAUUAAAUUAACGUAAACCCUUGUUUUAUUUAUUAGUAUAAAGCAGCUCUCCGCUUACAAUUGGAUGUGAUAAUAGGGACUAAGACAAGUCAUCAUGGCCUUAAUAUUGUGGGCUAUAGACGUGCCACAUGUGCCUUUACAAAGGGAUGCAAUAAUGCGAAUUGGAGCUAAUCCCCAAAACAGGAUAAAGUAUGGAUUGUAGUCUGAAAUUCGACUGCAUGAAAAAGGAAUUACUAGUAAUCGUGAGUAAUCACAUCACGGUGAAUUUUAUCUCAGAUAGGUACUAACCACUCGUCAGGCGCUGAAAGGAGUAUGUGCAAUAAGUUUGGUGGCUGCGGAUUGUUAAUCUAAAUUUACAGGUUUAGAUCUUUUGGCAGAUACAUCUUCGUAUGCGUGACUCUAAUUGGUGUUAAGUCGAAAUACGGUUCGUGUAGUGGAAAUUGCA